CCAGACGGUCGGAUGGCCGCGCGCGGGCAAUGGGGAAACCCGUCCGCGUGAGGAAAGUCCGGGCUCCACGGGAAUACGGUGCCGGUUAACGGCCGGCGGGGGUGACCCUAGGGAAAGUGCCACAGAAAGCAAACCGCCUGUCGCUUCGGCGGCGGGUAAGGGUGAAAGGGUGCGGUAAGAGCGCACCGCGCGGUCGGUAACGGCGGCGGCAUGGUAAACCCCACCGGGAGCAAGACCGAGUAGGGGCGGCAUAUGGCGGAUUUCCGCGCCGCCGCCCGGGUGGGUCGCGUGAGGCGUUCGGCGACGGACGUCCCAGAUGAAUGGCCAUCUCCCGUUCGCGCUUCGGCGGGUACGGGGACAGAACCCGGCUUACAGACCGUCUGGCCUU
This 388-nucleotide RNase P RNA is filed under the name Alphaproteobacteria bacterium. Its description in RNAcentral is "RNase P RNA component class A". It matches the Rfam family "Bacterial RNase P class A". Rfam says of the family: Ribonuclease P (RNase P) is a ubiquitous endoribonuclease, found in archaea, bacteria and eukarya as well as chloroplasts and mitochondria. Its best characterised activity is the generation of mature 5'-ends of tRNAs by cleaving the 5'-leader elements of precursor-tRNAs. Cellular RNase Ps are ribonucleoproteins. The record is from RNAcentral. Lineage: Bacteria; Pseudomonadati; Pseudomonadota; Alphaproteobacteria.